GGAGGCAGCAGUGGGGAAUUUUGGACAAUGGGCGCAAGCCUGAUCCAGCAAUGCCGCGUGCGGGAAGAAGGCCUUCGGGUUGUAAACCGCUUUUGGUAGGAACGAAAAGCUCUGGGCUAAUACCCUGGGGUGAUGACGGUACCUGCAGAAUAAGCACCGGCUAACUACGUGCCAGCAGCCGCGGUAAUACGUAGGGUGCAAGCGUUAAUCGGAAUUACUGGGCGUAAAGCGUGCGCAGGCGGUUAUAUAAGUCAGAUGUGAAAUCCCCGGGCUCAACCUGGGAACUGCAUUUGAGACUGUAUAGCUAGAGUACGGUAGAGGGGGAUGGAAUUCCGCGUGUAGCAGUGAAGUGCGUAGAUAUGCGGAGGAACACCGAUGGCGAAGGCAAUCCCCUGGACCUGUACUGACGCUCAUGCACGAAAGCGUGGGGAGCAAACAGGAUUAGAUACCCUGGUAGUCCACGCCCUAAACGAUGUCAACUGGUUGUUGGGUCUUAACUGACUCAGUAACGAAGCUAACGCGUGAAGUUGACCGCCUGGGGAGUACGGCCGUAAGGUUGAAACUCAAAUGAAUUGACGG
Molecule: ribosomal RNA, 579 nt
Filed under: uncultured beta proteobacterium
Lineage: Bacteria; Pseudomonadati; Pseudomonadota; Betaproteobacteria
Description: bacterial SSU rRNA
Rfam family: Bacterial small subunit ribosomal RNA
Source: RNAcentral